CUCACAUGGUCUCUGCCGGCAACCAGGCGACCACGGGCACAGUGUUGGCUACCCCUGAUAUAAGGAAACAGGUGGAACGGCGCCCCCUUGACUGUAAUGUGUGUCAAACAAAAGUGUAGCUCACUGGGUGUAGCCAGGUGAAGAUGGUACCAUUGUUUGGUAACAUGCUGAUGGGAAACUGGAUUGUAAAGACUGCAGAAAAAGGAGUUCUGAAGAGAGCCAGUGUAGGCCACCACCAGUAGACCAGCAGACAAGCAGACAGUUAAGCUAACAAUGUCAAACAACCAGCAGAGUUAGCAAAUUAUGUUAAUGCUAUCAACCACUGAGCUUAUGACAAGCUUUUUUUAAGCUAGCCACCAAAAAGUUUCAAAAGUUGAUUCCUGGACUUCUACAGCGACUGAGAAUAGAAGUUGUAGCUAAUUAGAAAUUGGAGCAUGGCCCAGACAGGACAAGUGGAUAGAGCUGAAGCACCUGUGCACAGGAGAAAAUUGGACAUUUAACAUGGAGUCGUGGAAAGCCUCAAGUCCAGAGGGAACUAUGACAUCGUUCUUGGACAUGUUUCCUUCAGCUGGACUUCAACUGGGCCUGGAGCCAGGAAGCAUCCCCACAUCAUGAUGCUGCCACCACCAUGCUUCACCGUGGGGCUGCAGUGUGACUGAGGCAUUACCUACAAAAUGGAAAUCUGGUUUCAAAAUGAACUACGAAUCUGUUGAAAUAUCGGCUGAGGCUGUAGUUUCUCCAGUUUGUAUCUUAUCUUAUAAUAAAAGGAAGCAAAAUGUGUAAUGAUCUUGAAUAGAGACAAAGGUGUAUUCAUCACUGUGGAUU
Molecule: long non-coding RNA, 825 nt
Organism: Amphiprion ocellaris (clown anemonefish)
Lineage: Eukaryota; Metazoa; Chordata; Actinopteri; Pomacentridae
Source: Ensembl